CUCUUAGCGUCCUUCUGGUCUGCAAGACAUGCCGUUUCUAUUCACUAGUUGUUUUUUUUACAACUUUGUCUAUGUCUGAGCGGUACAACUUUCUCCCUCUUUAAUCCCUUUACAGAAUUUAACUGCAUUUUGUCAGUUAUUGUCCUUCUCAUAACCACCACUCAUUUCUCCCUUUUUUUUUCUGCUGCUCUAUCUCCUUCAUUUUUUAACUGACAGAAACCCAUUUUAAAUGAAGUGUCCUUUUGCGUCACGUACCUUUCUCAUCAGGCUGAAUGUGUUUUUUUCUUCACAUAUCCUACAAGGCCCUCUUAACCUUAGAUUUAUUGUCAGGGUGGAGGCACAAGUUGACUGCUUUCUCUGUUUGAUGUAUUUUCAUUGAUGCUCCAACACUCUGGAGUGAAGAGAUGAGCUUUUACUAUAGAUAAAACAGACUUUUGUUGGUGCAGACAUAUAGGUAGAUCAGUAGCAUCUUCAAACGUGUUUAGACUUGAGUUAAACAGUUUAAGUUGAAUUGAGGCCUUGCUCUGCAGCAAACAAAGAUGGCAUAAUCACUUAUGAAUUUCCUGCAGCUUUCUCACGUUUUACUGGCACAACGACUACAUGCAAGGAGAAAUAGGUUCAUGUGAUGAUGACAUGACGCUUCAUUAAGGGAGGAGAAAAUGAUACUGCACAAUAAAACAGACUACCCGCUAGAACAUUUAUUCAUUGGCUUGCACCAGAAUUAUUUGCUGUACGUGCCCAAGAAGUUGUACAGUUAAUUUAAUUCUAACUACAGUUGAAGAAAGAAAUGAACACUUCCAUUAAAUUUCUCUGUUCCUUUUCUCGAAGGUGUCAAUGGCUGCUCCAUCCAUGGGUCUGUUAGGAUUCAUACUGAUACAUGCUGCCACUGCCACCACUCUUCCUUUUUUGCACGAACAAAGACAGGUGGGAGAACUGAAGCUACAACUUGAGACACCACAGGCCAGCAGGAAUCAGAACUCACAAGGGCGCCUUUCACGACUUCUCAGCUGCUGUCAGACUGGUGAACGUGACAUUAAACAGGGCAAGACCCACCCCACUUCACACUCUCACUGGACGCACACUCAUGCACACAAACUGUCACUCUAUCAGGCUAUGAGUACAAUUGUAUGUUAUGUACUAUUUUUUCCACGCUGCUGUUUAUCAGAUUGUUUUUAUUAAAACGUUUGCAAUUUUUUCUGCUUGUGAUUCAUUUGCUGAAUUUUUCUGUUUUUUAAACUAUUGCAGUUUUUGCUCACACAAUCCAAACUUGAAAAUACUGAAUAAAACGCAUAGUAUUUUAAACACUGGAAUGUACUUGAGGAAACAUCAUUCUAUUCUAUUCUAUUCUAUUCUAUUCUAUUCUGUUCUAUUCUACAUGACUGUUUUAUGGAUUUUCUCGAGCUGGUAUCUUUUCAAAACACAAAGAAAAUAUUAUCCAUUCACUGUUUAAGUCUAACUUGUUGUUUGACAUGCAUGAUUUAUUAGCAGUAGUUUAAUUUAAACACCAGGAAUAUGAACAUAAUGUAAUGAGGAACAAUGGACAGAUUACAUCAGAAAGUCUAUAAGGGAAAUCAGUAACAAGCAGGAGCUAGAUUAAAACAUAGUAAAAUGGUGAUAUCAAACAGAGGAAGUCUGGUUGUAAUCCAUCAGCUGCCAGGCUAGUUUGUUCUGCCUUUUUAGCCAUUUGGGAUUUACUGUGAUUGAGGGAAGUCAAUUUCUGCAGAGAUGGUGCUGACAGCAGAAUGAGACUACCUUUCAUUUUCUCUGGGUUUAAAAAAAUACGAAAAUCUUGCUGAAGGACAUUAAAAAAUAGGCUGGAAUGUUUUAGUUGAGAUUUGUAUUAAAACCCUGCAAAGGUUAAAAUGGAUAUAUUUUUGACCAAAUAGAAUAAGUACUAAACGACACAAGGUAGUAGAAAAAAUACUCCAGUGUUAAAAAUAAUAUGUGUAGCAAUAAUUACUGGUUUAAUGUGAUCAUGUGUUCUAUGAUAAACAAUGACUAUUACAUAAUGGUUACCGUUAAUGUUUACUAAAAUCGUGAAUGAUUGUUUGCUUAAGAUAAUCCAUCAUUACAAGGUACUGGAUUUUGUUACUUGAAAAGAAUACAUUGGAUCAGAACUGGAUUACAAAAACUGUAAAACUAUCAAAUGAGUUAACUCCGUAGGGGUGGGAUUAUAUAAACUUGCUUCUUUCCACUCUUUUUCAAGCAAUAAAUCAAGCUCUACUUAACUUUAGUUAAUGAUCACUGUAUUUAAUUAAGCAAAUGUGAUUUAAGUGACUUUUUGUUUUGUUUUAUUUUCUGUCUUUUUAAUCUAUGCAUUUCAACAUUUCUGUAAUGAGUUUGAUAAAUAUGUGUAAAUUCUUUAUUGCUUUGACUACAAUGCUUGAAAUAAAUCAAUACAUCAAAUCAUGUGGUACACUUAAUUAAAUGUUUUCAAGGUAUA
RNAcentral lists this long non-coding RNA (2443 nucleotides) under Oryzias sinensis (Chinese medaka). RNAcentral describes it as "lncRNA (ENSOSIG00000015759.1)". The record is from RNAcentral. Lineage: Eukaryota; Metazoa; Chordata; Actinopteri; Beloniformes; Adrianichthyidae.